CUCGUAGGCGGCUUGGCAAGUCGAUCGUGAAAGCCCGGGGCUUAACCCCGGGACGCCGGUCGAUACUGCCAUGGCUUGGGUCCUGUAGAGGAGAAUGGAAUUCCCGGUGUAGCGGUGAAAUGCGCAGAUAUCGGGAGGAACACCAGUAGCGAAGGCGGUUCUCUGGGCCGGUACCGACGCUGAGGAGCGAAAGCGUGGGGAGCAAACAGGAUUAGAUACCCUGGUAGUCC
This 230-nucleotide ribosomal RNA is filed under the name uncultured bacterium. RNAcentral's name for it is "partial 16S ribosomal RNA". It matches the Rfam family "Bacterial small subunit ribosomal RNA", at positions 568 to 796 of the family's 1533-position model. The record is from RNAcentral.